RNAcentral lists this signal recognition particle RNA (300 nucleotides) under Callithrix jacchus (white-tufted-ear marmoset). RNAcentral describes it as "Metazoan signal recognition particle RNA (ENSCJAG00000084964.1)". It matches the Rfam family "Metazoan signal recognition particle RNA". Rfam says of the family: The signal recognition particle (SRP) is a universally conserved ribonucleoprotein. It is involved in the co-translational targeting of proteins to membranes. The record is from Rfam by way of RNAcentral. Lineage: Eukaryota; Metazoa; Chordata; Mammalia; Primates; Cebidae.
GCCGGGUGCAGUGGGGCAUGCCUGUAGUCCCAGCUACUCAGGAGGCUGAGGUGAAAGGAUCACUUAAGCCCAGGAGUUCUGGGCUGUAGUGCGCUAUGCCGAUCAGGUGUCCGCACUAAGUUUGGCAACAAUAUGGUGACCUCCCAGGAGUGAGGGACCACCAGGUUGCCUAAGGAGGGGUGAACCGGCGCAGACUGGAAACGGAGCAGGUCACAACUCCUGUGCUGAUCAGUAGUGGGAUCUUGCCUGUGCAUAACCAACACACUCCGGCCUGGGCAACAUAGUGAGACCCUGUCUCUU